GAAUUGCGUUAAGGAUAGUAGGCGACAUCCUCGUAAUCCCGACCUUUAGGGACAACGAGAUACAGCCGGAUAGCCUGACCCGUA
RNAcentral lists this unclassified non-coding RNA (84 nucleotides) under Flavobacterium gillisiae. RNAcentral's name for it is "Flavo-1 RNA". Lineage: Bacteria; Pseudomonadati; Bacteroidota; Flavobacteriia; Flavobacteriales; Flavobacteriaceae. The record is from RNAcentral.